CCUACGGGAGGCAGCAGUGAGGAAUAUUGGUCAAUGGACGGAAGUCUGAACCAGCCAUGCCGCGUGCAGGAUGACGGCUCUAUGUGUUGUAAACUUCUUUUGUACGAGAAUAAUAGCUCUUACGUGUAGGGAGUUGAAUGUAUCUGACGAAUAAGCAUCGGCUAACUCCGUGCCCGCAGCCGCGGUAAUACGGAGGAUGCGAGCGUUAUCCGGAUUUAUUGGGUUUAAAGGGUGCGUAGGCUGUCUGAUAAGUUAGAGGUCAAAUGUCGGGGCUUAACCCCGUGCCUGCCUCUGAUACUGUCAGACUCGAGUGCGGAUGAAGAAGGCGGAAUGAGUAGUGUAGCGGUGAAAUGCAUAGAUAUUACUCAGAACACCGAUUGCGCAGGCAGCUUGCUAAUCCGAAUCUGACGCUGAUGCACGAAAGCGUGGGUAGCGAACAGGAUUAGAUACCCGGGUAGUC
Molecule: ribosomal RNA, 460 nt
Filed under: uncultured bacterium
Lineage: Bacteria
Description: partial 16S ribosomal RNA
Rfam family: Bacterial small subunit ribosomal RNA
Source: RNAcentral